AGAGUUUGAUCAUGGCUCAGAUUGAACGCUGGCGGCAUGCCUUACACAUGCAAGUCGAACGGCAGCGCGGGAGCAAUCCUGGCGGCGAGUGGCGAACGGGUGAGUAAUAUAUCGGAACGUGCCUUAGAGUGGGGGAUAACUAGUCGAAAGACUAGCUAAUACCGCAUACGACCUACGGGUGAAAGUGGGGGAUCGCAAGACCUCAUGCUCUUAGAGCGGCCGAUAUCUGAUUAGCUAGUUGGUGGGGUAAAAGCCUACCAAGGCGACGAUCAGUAGCUGGUCUGUGGGGACGAC
This 294-nucleotide ribosomal RNA is filed under the name uncultured Oxalobacteraceae bacterium. RNAcentral's name for it is "partial 16S ribosomal RNA". It matches the Rfam family "Bacterial small subunit ribosomal RNA", at positions 8 to 304 of the family's 1533-position model. The record is from RNAcentral. Lineage: Bacteria; Pseudomonadati; Pseudomonadota; Betaproteobacteria; Burkholderiales; Oxalobacteraceae.